Molecule: long non-coding RNA, 505 nt
Filed under: Coturnix japonica (Japanese quail)
Lineage: Eukaryota; Metazoa; Chordata; Aves; Galliformes; Phasianidae
Description: lncRNA (ENSCJPG00005019506.1)
Source: RNAcentral
UCUUAAAUUUCACUUCUUUGUCUGUUCUCUCACGUUUUUUUCCCUUCAUUUUAUAGCCUGUCAAACAAGAUUUCUGACAAAUUCACAACGAUUGAAUACUGUUUUGCAGUCUUCACUGCUGUCACUAAUGACUUCUACUGUACAUAUUCUUCAGUGUUUCCUGUUAGAUUCACAAGAAUUAAUGUGUUCAAAGGAAAACCUUUGUUGAGAACAGAAUACAGAACUGAUGUCCUGUCACUGUCCUGUCUUGCUUGCUUUGGAUUUCAAACUAAUCAAAGCUGAGUAAAGGUUUGGUUUUAAACAAAUGAACAAUUCUUGGAAUCACUGCUGUUAAUAUGUAUAGUCCCAUCAAGGGGGAAGGGUGAAAAUGUAGUAAACUUAUACAGUGGAAUCACACAGCCAUGUCACAAAGCUCUGUCUAGUGCACACAUAUGUUAAACUUUUUUUCUAGUUUUUCAUGUCUGAAGUGAUUUCACUGACUUAAUGAAGGACAUUUCUAUUCUGU